RNAcentral lists this ribosomal RNA (254 nucleotides) under uncultured bacterium. Its description in RNAcentral is "partial 16S ribosomal RNA". It matches the Rfam family "Bacterial small subunit ribosomal RNA", at positions 524 to 776 of the family's 1533-position model. The record is from RNAcentral.
UACGUAGGGUCCAAGCGUUAUCCGGAAUCACUGGGCGUAAAGCGUUUGUAGGCGGGAAUCUAAGUGAGAUGCGAAAUCUUGUGGCUCAACCACAUAGACGGUAUCUCAUACUGGGUUCCUAGAAGAUGGCAGAGGCAAGUGGAAUUAGUAGUGUAGCGGUAAAAUGCGUAGAUAUUACUAGGAACACCAAUGGCGAAGGCAGCUUGCUGGGCCAUUCUUGACGCUGAGAAACGAAAGCGUGGGGAGCGAACAGG